CACGCUGUAAACGAUGGAUACUAGGUGUAGUGGGUAUCGACCCCUGCUGUACCGUAGCUAACGCGUUAAGUAUCCCGCCUGGGGAGUACGCACGCAAGUGUGAAACUCAAAGGAAUUGACGGGGGCCCGCACAAGCGGUGGAGUAUGUGGUUUAAUUCGAUGCAACGCGAAGAACCUUACCAGGGUUUGACAUGUCCGGAACCUCGGUGAAAGCUGAGGGUGCCUUCGGGAACCGGAACACAGGUG
Molecule: ribosomal RNA, 246 nt
Filed under: uncultured cyanobacterium
Lineage: Bacteria; Bacillati; Cyanobacteriota
Description: partial 16S ribosomal RNA
Rfam family: Bacterial small subunit ribosomal RNA
Source: RNAcentral